This 6566-nucleotide long non-coding RNA is filed under the name Podarcis lilfordi (Lilford's wall lizard). The record is from RNAcentral. Lineage: Eukaryota; Metazoa; Chordata; Lepidosauria; Squamata; Lacertidae.
CCCCUGCUUCCCAUCUUUCAUUCCUGUGCAGUGAAUGCUAUUGGCUACUGAUGUCAGGUUGGGCUGCUGAUGUCAUAGUGGCUCGCCUUAUGAUGGAACCUGUCUCCUGCCUUCAGUAGCAAAGCAAUGAAGAGAAGACAUGGGCAAACUCCCUUGCAGAAAAGUGGAAGAUUAUAGUAGCAGAUUGAAAAUGAUGCAUGGAGAACAUCGACCAUCAGUUCUUUGCUGAGUGCAUUUCACUAGAUGCACUGGAAGAAUAGGUAUUUUGCCUUUCUCUCACAUGUGGAACACUUUCAGAUACAAGUGGUGUUUCUUGUACCAUUUCUAGUAAGAACCAUUACUCCAGGUUAUGCACCAGCCAUAUGUUGGAUAGGCAAAUAAACAAAUGUGCAAAUAAAACAUCCUCACAGGGCUUCUCUAAGUGCUUGGCUCACCGCUUCAGCUUCCUCCACUCUGUCCAUCAUUGUCCUCAGAGGGGAGUGUUGAUCCCUUAUGUCUUUUAAUCAGUGUUCAGGUUCUUAGCUCAUCCUUGGGGUACUCCAGAACAGUCAUUAUGAUGAUAAAUAUCCUCAUAUUAUAUUGAUUUGGAACUUAAAACUCCAGAAGAAUAAAAAAAAAUGCUGCACAACUUUGGGCUUCCAACCAGCAACUUGUAGCUUGCAAUCAACACAGAUAAGAGUCCGAAAAUAGAAUAUAAGGCAAAUGAUCAAUGCUCAUUUAGUACGACUGAGCCAUUUGCAACUUUUCAGGACUAUUUUCCACAGCACGUAGGUGUGUAGUACCACCACUGGAUUGUAAUCAUAAAUACUUAAAUUCUAUUAACAUAGUAGCAUACUGUUAUCUCUCUUUAAAAGUAUUACUUCUACUCAUUGAUUAAUUCUACUCAUGAAUAUUCAUCACUUGUUCUCUAGAUUUAAUUAGUACAUGAAGACUUAAAUAACUGCAUGUGUGAACUAUCUCUGUUGAAAAGUAUUAUUUCUGAGCUGAACUACACUAAUUAUCACUUUAGUUAUUUAUACAAUAUAAAGCAUUUGCUUCAUCUCCCCACAUAUAAAAAAUUGUCCAUUUAUUUUUGUAGGUAACUUGGGUGGCAAUAGUGCACUAGUCUGGAACUAGUCAAGACAGCAGGCAUGUAGCAAAAUCCUGUCUCCCCCAGAGAGUUUAUGGCUGUGUACACAUUACCAGCUUAAGAUGCAGCUAGGCCUUUCUUUUUAUCAAUUUAGAUCAAAUAUAGUUUGUGGGAAAAUGCAUCAAAACACAGUAUUUCAUAGGAAAUGACAGGAUAGAUAUAGAUUGUAGUUAAUGUUGUGUGUACACCUUCCCAAACUAGCAAUGGGAGGUCAUUGGAUGCAGUGCUUUUCUUCUAGAAAAAAAGGUGCUGGUACUAUGUACCCUUGAGAACUCCCAGAAAAAAGCACUGACUGGAUGCAGAGUAAACAAAGAGGGUGUACACAGCAUAAUACAACAAAGCAUACAAUGUAACAUCAGUGCACUACCAGUCAUCAUAAAGGGCAGCCCAAGUGGAAUGUGGUGGAGAUCACCACAGCACCCAGAAAUUGUGACAUGGGUUUCACAGUAGCAGACAUUACCAGGGCACACGAGGACAAAAAAAUGUCAGGAUGCUAUUUUUGGUGGCAGCUAGACAUCUCCAAACAUGACUAGUUCCAGUCCUGGUCCCUAUAGCAAAGAGGGUAAUAUAAAUGCAAUGAAUCACAGGUUGGUGGUGGGGUUUUUUUAAGCUGUAUAAUAAUGCUAAUUGGUCAUACUAUCUUCAACGUUUCCCCGUGUCUGGAGUUCUUUUGCAAGGUGUGUAUUUUGUACAAAAGUCAAAGAAAGAGCAAUCAAGAAAGUGUUGGCCGUUGGCAACAAAAACACUUGGAAAACUAUAAGAAAAUUAUCCCCAAACAUCUUGGUGCUACAAUUGAAAGGUAAAUUGCAGCGACAUAAAAUUACUCCAGCAAUCUCCAAAUCCACACUGUACAUCUAUAAAGACUGACUGAAGAUGCUUUCCUAACAAGUGCUAUGAGCACUGAGAGUUCUGAGCAUUUAUGUGGAAAUACUUUUAUAAAGGCAAUCUCUAACACUAAAAUUAAUAUAUGUCUCCACCAGGAUUUAGUUAUUUUUGCUGCGGGGCAUGGAAAUUAUUAUGUUCUAUAUGCUGCAGCUGUAUCUUAGAAUCAAAAAGCACCUCAGCCCAGCUUACACUUCAAAUGCAAGAAAUGCCCACUAACUAGCUUUCUCCAAACCUGCUUUAAAUGUGGCCAGUACAUAUGGUUUGCGACUUUCCCUUUUAACAAGUGAAAUAACAUGUUACAUAUUGCCAGAGCCAUCCAGGUACUGUAUACAAUACAAACACUAGAAUCAAACGAUUCAAACCAUUCCACAAACUCUCUGCUCAGGAAUAUACUUUCCUGAUACUGUGCCAAUGUACAUCAGCAUUCAUUAUAACAAACUAAAAUAUUACUGGGGGAAAUGCCUCCUACAGUCCUCGCAUCCCACUCCUGGGACACAGUCAAGAAUGCUAGAGAAGGUUCAGUGGACCUGCCUACGUGCCUUUUAUGUUACAAUCAACCAGCAUGCCUAGCCAGAUAAAGAACAAGCAACAGCAAUGGAGGUUAUUCAAGGCCUACAGCAUAUCCCAGUCAUUUCAACAGCAGUGCUAGGAUCCUCACAGGUAUUACAAUCAGCCAGAGCAGCAACAUCUAAGCUUAUCCCUCCAGCAAUGAAGAGUUACAUACCUUACUCUUAUGUGACACAACAAGGGGAGAAGGCAGACGUCUUGCUGAUUGGUGGUGUUGCUUCAGCUUCUCUGUAAAAGAUACAGGAAUCAAUAUGACUAUGACAGUACAAUGAGUGGCAGAAUUUUGCUCCUAGUGAAAAAGAAAUCUAUCAUGUCUAUUGGAACCUUCAUGUAUUUCUUUUAUAAAAGCAAGUUUCUAUCACUCCUUGGGGGGGGGGUUCCCACCUUUCGGGGAGAGGGUUAUUGUGCUUUAAACAGCUACAUGGCAGGCAGAAAUUCAGCAGGUGAAUGGUUUUUCAUGUCUGCAACUUUAUGUUGAGAAGCAUACCCUGCUGGAUUUCCACCUAUUGUGUAACAGUUGAAAAUACAGGCACCUUGCAAAAAAGAAAAAGGGACUUCAUAAUAAAGAGAAAAUACUUUUUUCUAUUUUUUCUGCUUUCUAUUUUUUCUGCUAUUACUUUCUGCUUUCCUUAUUUUAAUUCCUUAUUUUAAGUCUCUUAAAUCCUAUGCCAAUCUUUAACAAUUUCAAUUAAUGCCUCCCUCCCUCCCACACAACCCAAUACUUCCCUCCACCUGUGUGGGAUCUUCUUUGCCUACUAUUAUUUUUGUUAUUGUUGCGUUACUCAUUUUAUUUGUUAUUCCAUCCUUAGUAUAUUAUCCUAUCUCCUUGCACCUUUUAAACUUUUGCAUAUUAAUUUUUAAGCUCCAGCACCAACUUUUUUCAUGUAUUCCUUAACACAUUCCCACUCUUUAUUAAUUUUUUGAUUAGAGCAGCCUCUGAUUGAUGCUGUUAAUUUUGCCAUCUCCGUGAAUUCGAGAAGUUUGGUUCUCCAUUCUAAUAAUUCUGGUAUUUUAUCAGUUUUCCAAUUUUACGCCACUACGAUUCUGGCUGCCCUUGCGAUUCUGGCUGCUGCGGUUGCGUAAAGGAAUAUAUUCCUUUUAUCCUUGGGGAUGUCACUCAAUACUAAACCCAGCAAAAAUACCACGUUGCACCCCCACCACUUUUGGUACAUCGUCCCCACCUCUGUUUUGCAUCUCCGACAGAGAUUUGAUUGUUUUUUGUACAUCUUUGAUAGUUUUACUAGGGUGAGGUACCAGCGGUAAAACAUCUUCAUUAUGUUUUCCUUAUUCAAAUAGCACACUGUAAAAUUUAUAUCAGUUUUCCCUAGUCUUUCCCAUCUGUCUAAGUGAAUUGUCUGGCCCAGCUCUUGUGACCAUUUUAUCAUUGGUUCUUUUAUUACCUCAUCUUUCAAGGAGCAAGCUGUAUAUUUUCGAUAUUAUUUUCCUAUUUGGUUGCAGUAGUUCACUUUGUAAUUUUGAUGUUUUCUGUUCAAAUCCUAUUUUUUUAUCUUGGUUUUUAUCUAUUUUUUUAUCUUCAAAAGACUCUUGUCCUGUUUUACGAAACUGAGUAAUUACCCUUGCCCAACUGUAAGGUUCUAUAUCAAAUGAAGUUCUAUGGCUGCACUUAUUCCCCCUUCCACUCCCUGGCCAGUAAAUAAAUAAAGCAGGAAAAAAUAACUGCAGGAAAUACUAGAUUUCAGGUUUCAAGCUGUUACUUCCUCUCCUCUCCCCAAAACAUGUUCCCUUUUUAAAUGCAUUAUUUAAAUACUAGCUUUUACCUAGCAUAGUGCAAGUAUCUUCUUGUAAGGCACUCAACAGCACAAUCCUAAGCAUGUUUACUCAGAAGCAGUGCUUUUUUUCUGGGGGGAUGAAUACCCCUAAACAUUUUGUGAAUCUAAGUUUGGUCUCAUUGAUGGGCAGUAUUUCAAUAUGAGUAGGAAAAUGAGAGCACCGCUAAACAUUUUCUUAGGGGGGGAAAACACUGCUCAGAAGUAAGUCCUAUUGAGUUCAGCGGGGCUGACUCCUAGGACAGUAGGUAUAGCAUUGCAGCCCACAUCCUCCUCUCAAGUUCCACUGCAGGGCAAAAUGCAGGCUAUGGUUUCCGUAUCUCAGGUAACAGGCCACAAUUUCCUCCAAACCACUUAAGAGCAUAGCUUCCAAAUGCUGCUGACAUUUUGGUUCCUAUUUUUCUGCCUUCUUUAAAUUCAUUCAUUGAGGAACAAGCUUAUUGAUGCAGCAUGUAUUUUUCCUGAGUCAUUUGAAUACUGAAAAUUGAAAAUGCUAGCAUUUACAAGGAAAAUGGGGCCUGCUGUCUGCUUUCCCAAAACCAUAAUGCCAUCUGUAGUGUACUCUUUACAGCUAUUUAAUUGCAAGUCAGAGGGGAAAGGGGGGGGGGUGUCUUUCAGUGAUUGGAGCAGAGACUCUUAAGGAGAAAAAUGCAUUUAAAAAGCUUCUUAAAUGAGUCUAUAAUGCAAAUGUAAAACCUACUGUAGCUGCAAUAUACAUUCCAAGUUCUCUUCUUUAUUAUCUCUUGCAGUAUCAAAAUUCACAUGUGGCAAGGACAGAGGCUCUAAGCUGAUUAUAGCUGCAUGUGUGGAAAUCCUCGUAAGUUAGAGAGUGCCCUCCAGAUGUAACCUACUGCCCUCCAGAUGUUGAACUACCAUCAUUCCUCACAAUUGGUCAUGCUGAAUGAAGUUUCUGGAAGUUGACUGAGAACACUCAAUACAUUUAAAACAUGUUCCCCACCACCACAAAGAAUCAUGGGAACUGUGGGUUGUUUAGAGUGCUGAGGACUGUAGCUCUAUGAGAAGUAAACUACAGUUCCCAGGAUUCUUUUGGGCAGGGGGGUGUGCUUGAAAUGCAUGGGGUGUCAGCAGCCAAGAUUCUUCACAAUCAUUAAACCAGUGAUGGCCAAACUUGGUCCUCCAGCUGUUUUCGGACUACAACUCCCAUCAUCCCUAGCUAACAGGACCAGUGAUCAGGGAUGAUGUCCCAAAAUAGCUGGAGGGCCAAAUUUGGGCAUCACUGCAUUAAACACACACCAGUAUAGUAUUCAAUGCCUCACAGUGCAAUCCUGUGUCUACUCAGAAGCAAGUACUGCUGAAUGCAACAGGCCUUGCUCCCAGGUAAGGGUGAGUAAGACUGCAGUCUCAGUCAGUAUACAACACCAGCUCAAGGAGGUCUCCUUGCCACUGCCCCAAAAAUGUUACAAGGUUUGUCUGCUUAUGAAUCAAAAUGCCAAAGUUAAAGGGGGAGGGCUGUUCCUAUGCUUGGUUACUUGGAAGCUAGUCCUGCUAUGUUCAAUGAGUCUUAAAGGUAAAGGUACCCCUGACCGUUAGGUCCAGUUGCGGACAACUCUGGGGUUGCACGCUCAUCUCGCUCUAUAGGCUGAGGGAGCUGACAUUUGUCCGCAGACAGCUUCCGGGUCAUGUGGCCAGCAUGACUAAGCCGCUUCUGGCGAACCAGAGCAGCACACGGAAACACCGUUUACCUUCCCGCCGGAGCGGUACCUAUUUAUCUAUUUGUACUUUGACGUGCUUUCGAACUGCUAGGUGGGCAGGACCUGGGACCAAACAAUGGGAGCUCACCCCAUUGCGGGGAUUCGAACCAGCGACCUGCUGAUCGGCAAGCCCUAGGCUCUGUGGUUUAGACCACAGUGCCACCCACGUCCCUCAAUGAGGCUUACUUGGGCAUAAGUGUGCACAGGAAGUCUAAUUUCUUAUCCUUAGGAGGAUGAAGCAGGGCAACUACAUGACAGAAUAUGCCAUUAGAGAACUAUUAAAUGAGGAUUAAAUGAGAAGACCUUUGUGGAGCAGGACAAACAAAUAACUAUUAUGGUAAGAGAUAAUUAAAUCCCACAUACACCACCAUUACAAGAAUUACUACUUCUGCUAAAAGCCAGAGCAGCUGCAUAAAUAAUUGAAUAACUACCAAUUACGUGGGCUUUGUGAACAGGUGACUUGGGGAGCACAAUGAACCAGCUUGC